GAUGAACGCUGACAGAAUGCUAACACAUGCAAAGUCAACUUGAAUUUGGGUUUUUAAUUUUGAUUUGGGUGGCGGACGGGUGAGUAACGCGUAAAGAACUUGCCUCACAGCUAGGGACAACAUUUAGAAAUGAAUGCUAAUACCUGAUAUUAUGAUUUUAAGGCAUCUUAGAAUUAUGAAAGCUAUAAGCACUGUGAGAGAGCUUUGCGUCCCAUUAGCUAGUUGGAGAGGUAACAGCUCACCAAGGCGAUGAUGGGUAGCCGGCCUGAGAGGGUGAACGGCCACAAGGGGACUGAGACACGGCCCUUACUCCUACGGGAGGCAGCAGUGGGGAAUAUUGGACAAUGGACCGAGAGUCUGAUCCAGCAAUUCUGUGUGCACGAUGAAGUUUUUCGGAAUGUAAAGUGCUUUCAGUUGGGAAGAAACAAAUGACGGUACCAACAGAAGAAGUGACGGCUAAAUACGUGCCAGCAGCCGCGGUAAUACGUAUGUCACGAGCGUUAUCCGGAUUUAUUGGGCGUAAGGCGCGUCUAGGUGGUUAUGUAAGUCUGAUGUGAAAAUGCAGGGCUCAACUCUGUAUUGCGUUGGAAACUGUAUAACUAGAGUACUGGAGAGGUAAGCGGAACUACAAGUGUAGAGGUGAAAUUCGUAGAUAUUUGUAGGAAUGCCGAUGGGGAAGCCAGCUUACUGGACAGAUACUGACGCUAAAGCGCGAAAGCGUGGGUAGCAAACAGG
RNAcentral lists this ribosomal RNA (735 nucleotides) under uncultured Fusobacterium sp. Its description in RNAcentral is "bacterial SSU rRNA". It matches the Rfam family "Bacterial small subunit ribosomal RNA", at positions 28 to 776 of the family's 1533-position model. The record is from RNAcentral. Lineage: Bacteria; Fusobacteriati; Fusobacteriota; Fusobacteriia; Fusobacteriales; Fusobacteriaceae.